Molecule: long non-coding RNA, 610 nt
Filed under: Rattus norvegicus (Norway rat)
Lineage: Eukaryota; Metazoa; Chordata; Mammalia; Rodentia; Muridae
Description: long non-coding RNA NONRATT010489
Source: RNAcentral
GGAAUGAGGACAUGAAGGAAGUGAUAGAGAUAGACCAGUUCUCUUACCCUGUGUACCGUGCCUUUCUCCAGUACCUCUACACAGACACAGUGGACCUGCCACCUGAGGACGCUAUAGGCCUUUUGGACUUGGCAACAUCGUACUGUGAGAACAGACUGAAGAGGCUCUGUCAGCACAUCAUCAAGCGAGGAAUCACUGUGGAGAAUGCUUUCUCAUUGUUCUCUGCUGCAGUCAGAUAUGACGCAGAGACUCCAAGGAUCAAAGUCAGUUGUUAUAAGCAGCAGAUGUCCUUACCCACUGAGCCAUCUCAGCUGUUCCUGUUUUGUUGGCUUUAAACUUAGUUGGAUUUCAAGUCUGCAUUUCUCAGCUUUGUAGCAUCUGAUGAGUAGUGUUCUGGAAUGUGUACACCAUCGAACUUUCCUGACUGAGCAGAGCCGCAGAUUUGGAGCAGAAGCUGCCCCUGACAGACCGUGUGCUGAUGCAUGGCAGCCCAUGCUGCUGAACAGUGAAGACAGUGCAUGGAAGGCUGCAGGAGGCAUCGUUACUGAACUCAGACUGAUGUGCUUAGCUUUACAGAUUCAUAAAAAGUAAAAGGCUGACUUCGCUAAGU